GAUGAACGCUGGCGGCGUGCCUAAUACAUGCAAGUCGAGCGAACAGAUAAGGAGCUUGCUCCUUUGACGUUAGCGGCGGACGGGUGAGUAACACGUGGAUAACCUACCUAUAAGACUGGGAUAACUUCGGGAAACCGGAGCUAAUACCGGAUAACAUAUUGAACCGCAUGGUUCAAUAGUGAAAGGCGGCUUUGCUGUCACUUAUAGAUGGAUCCGCGCCGUAUUAGCUAGUUGGUAAGGUAACGGCUUACCAAGGCAACGAUACGUAGCCGACCUGAGAGGGUGAUCGGCCACACUGGAACUGAGACACGGUCCAGACUCCUACGGGAGGCAGCAGUAGGGAAUCUUCCGCAAAGGGCGAAAGCCUGACGGAGCAACGCCGCGUGAGUGAUGAAGGUCUUCGGAUCGUAAAGCUCUGUUAUCAGGGAAGAACAAAUGUGUAAGUAACUGUGCACAUCUUGACGGUACCUGAUCAGAAAGCCACGGCUAACUACGUG
This 497-nucleotide ribosomal RNA is filed under the name uncultured bacterium. RNAcentral describes it as "partial 16S ribosomal RNA". It matches the Rfam family "Bacterial small subunit ribosomal RNA", at positions 28 to 507 of the family's 1533-position model. The record is from RNAcentral.